Molecule: ribosomal RNA, 400 nt
Filed under: uncultured bacterium
Lineage: Bacteria
Description: bacterial SSU rRNA
Rfam family: Bacterial small subunit ribosomal RNA
Source: RNAcentral
GAAUAUUGGACAAUGGGCGCAAGCCUGAUCCAGCAAUGCCGCGUGAGUGAGGAAGGCCUUAGGGUUGUAAAGCUCUUUCACCCGCGACGAUGAUGACGGUAGCGGGAGACGAAGCCCCGGCUAACUUCGUGCCAGCAGCCGCGGUAAUACGAAGGGGGCGAGCGUUGUUCGGAUUUACUGGGCGUAAAGGGCGCGCAGGCGGCUUGUUUUGUCAGGCGUGAAAGCCCCGGGCUUAACCUGGGAACUGCGUUUGAUACGGACGGGCUAGAGUUCGGGAGAGGAGAGUGGAAUUCCCAGUGUAGAGGUGAAAUUCGUAGAUAUUGGGAAGAACACCGGUGGCGAAGGCGGCUCUCUGGACCGAGACUGACGCUGAGGCGCGAAAGCGUGGGGAGCAAACAGG